Molecule: ribosomal RNA, 247 nt
Filed under: uncultured Peptostreptococcus sp.
Lineage: Bacteria; Bacillati; Bacillota; Clostridia; Peptostreptococcales; Peptostreptococcaceae
Description: partial 16S ribosomal RNA
Rfam family: Bacterial small subunit ribosomal RNA
Source: RNAcentral
AGUAACGCGUGGGUAACCUGCCCUAUACACAUGGAUAACAUACUGAAAAGUUUACUAAUACAUUAUAAUAUAUAUUUACGGCAUCGUAGAUAUAUCAAAGUGUUAGCGGUAUAGGAUGGACCCGCGUCUGAUUAGCUAGUUGGUGAGAUAACUGCCCACCAAGGCGACGAUCAGUAGCCGACCUGAGAGGGUGAUCGGCCACAUUGGAACUGAGACACGGUCCAAACUCCUACGGGAGGCAGCAGUG